GUUCUUAUAGUUGAGAUAUCA
This 21-nucleotide transfer RNA is filed under the name Amazona albifrons (white-fronted parrot). RNAcentral's name for it is "partial tRNA-Glu". The record is from RNAcentral. Lineage: Eukaryota; Metazoa; Chordata; Aves; Psittaciformes; Psittacidae.